CUUACGGCAACAAGUAAGCUCUCAUUGUUCCUAUACAGAUCCUUUCGUCACCCAACCAGCUCUGCUGUCUUCCUGGUCAAACAUAAUUGGGUUGUGUUACACUGCUCCAAGUGAAUGACACAAAUUCUGCACUCAGAUAGCAGAUCACUUCCUCAGUUGCUCUUAUCUCCAAGUGCGAGCAUCCAGAAGGCUGCAGCUGAGUGUGUAAACUGGGUGGAUCGUGGCUGCUCGGCAUGAUAAUGGCCGAGAGGUGGGACAAUAUACUGAGAAAUUUCAAAUUUAGGAGUCAUCAACGAGGUUAGCGCUCCCACCUCUGAUCUCCACCCAUCAUCACUACUUAGUGCUUCGUCAUUGCUGCGACACCGCCUCUCCGCGGGGACCUGAUCGGGAAAGUCUCCAACCUGCUCUGAAGUGAAACACCGGAAUCAUGGCAUCAAAAUAAAGGUGUGGGAAAACGCGCAGAGGACACAUCCGUCUGCUCAGGUAGGUUUCGCCCACUGACAUCGUCACUGUGUUGACAUCGCACACCUUUUUUUCCCUUCUUCUUCUCCUUCUUCACUUCCCGUCUCCUCGCGGCGGCGGCGGUUCGUUUGGA
This 595-nucleotide long non-coding RNA is filed under the name Sparus aurata (gilthead seabream). RNAcentral describes it as "lncRNA (ENSSAUG00010002826.1)". The record is from RNAcentral. Lineage: Eukaryota; Metazoa; Chordata; Actinopteri; Spariformes; Sparidae.